CUAAUACCGCAUACGUCCUACGGGAGAAAGCAGGGGACCUUCGGGCCUUGCGCUAUCAGAUGAGCCUAGGUCGGAUUAGCUAGUUGGUGAGGUAAUGGGCUCACCAAGGCGACGAUCCGUAACUGGUCUGAGAGGAUGAUCAGUCACACUGGAACUGAGACACGGUCCAUACUCCUACGGGAGGCAGCAGUGGGGAAUAUUGGACAAUGGGCGAAAGCCUGAUCCAGCCAUGCCGCGUGUGUGAAGAAGGUCUUCGGAUUGUAAAGCACUUUAAGUUGGGAGGAAGGGCAGUAAGUUAAUACCUUGCUGUUUUGACGUUACUGACAGAAUAAGCACCGGCUAACUCUGUGCCAGCAGCCGCGGUAAUACAGAGGGUGCAAGCGUUAAUCGGAAUUACUGGGCGUAAAGUGUGUGUAGGUGGUUCGUUAAGUUGGAUGUGAAGCCCCGGGCUCAACCUGGGAACUGCAUCCAAAACUGGCGAGCUAGAGUACGGUAGAGGGUGGUGGAAUUUCCUGUGUAGCGGUGAAAUGCGUAGAUAUAGGAAGGAACACCAGUG
RNAcentral lists this ribosomal RNA (556 nucleotides) under uncultured Pseudomonas sp. RNAcentral's name for it is "bacterial SSU rRNA". It matches the Rfam family "Bacterial small subunit ribosomal RNA", at positions 163 to 714 of the family's 1533-position model. The record is from RNAcentral. Lineage: Bacteria; Pseudomonadati; Pseudomonadota; Gammaproteobacteria; Pseudomonadales; Pseudomonadaceae.